UUGUGAGCUCGAUGAGUAGGGCGGGACACGUGGUAUCCUGUCUGAAUAUGGGGGGACCAUCCUCCAAGGCUAAAUACUCCUGACUGACCGAUAGUGAACCAGUACCGUGAGGGAAAGGCGAAAAGAACCCCGGCGAGGGGAGUGAAAAAGAACCUGAAACCGUGUACGUACAAGCAGUGGGAGCCUCUUAAUGGGGUGACUGCGUACCUUUUGUAUAAUGGGUCAGCGACUUAUAUUCUGUAGCAAGGUUAACCGAAUAGGGGAGCCGAAGGGAAACCGAGUCUUAACUGGGCGUUAAGUUGCAGGGUAUAGACCCGAAACCCGGUGAUCUAGCCAUGGGCAGGUUGAAGGUUGGGUAACACUAACUGGAGGACCGAACCGACUAAUGUUGAAAAAUUAGCGGAUGACUUGUGGCUGGGGGUGAAAGGCCAAUCAAACCGGGAGAUAGCUGGUUCUCCCCGAAAGCUAUUUAGGUAGCGCCUCGUGAAUUCAUCUCCGGGGGUAGAGCACUGUUUCGGCAAGGGGGUCAUCCCGACUUACCAACCCGAUGCAAACUGCGAAUACCGGAGAAUGUUAUCACGGGAGACACACGGCGGGUGCUAACGUCCGUCGUGAAGAGGGAAACAACCCAGACCGCCAGCUAAGGUCCCAAAGUCAUGGUUAAGUGGGAAACGAUGUGGGAAGGCCCAGACAGCCAGGAUGUUGGCUUAGAAGCAGCCAUCAUUUAAAGAAAGCGUAAUAGCUCACUGGUCGAGUCGGCCUGCGCGGAAGAUGUAACGGGGCUAAACCAUGCACCGAAGCUGCGGCAGCGACACU
Molecule: ribosomal RNA, 816 nt
Filed under: Escherichia coli
Lineage: Bacteria; Pseudomonadati; Pseudomonadota; Gammaproteobacteria; Enterobacterales; Enterobacteriaceae
Description: partial 23S ribosomal RNA
Rfam family: Bacterial large subunit ribosomal RNA
Source: RNAcentral